Non-coding RNA from Potamilus streckersoni, 75 nucleotides. The record is from the annotation of a GenBank genome assembly. Lineage: Eukaryota; Metazoa; Mollusca; Bivalvia; Unionida; Unionidae.
CGCUUAGUUGCCUAGUGGUUAUAGCGUCCGCCUCGGAUGCGGGAGGCCGUGGGUUCGAGCUCUCUCGCUUGGCGC